UGUGAGCUCGAUGAGUAGGGCGGGACACGUGGUAUCCUGUCUGAAUAUGGGGGGACCAUCCUCCAAGGCUAAAUACUCCUGACUGACCGAUAGUGAACCAGUACCGUGAGGGAAAGGCGAAAAGAACCCCGGCGAGGGGAGUGAAAAAGAACCUGAAACCGUGUACGUACAAGCAGUGGGAGCACGCUUAGGCGUGUGACUGCGUACCUUUUGUAUAAUGGGUCAGCGACUUAUAUUCUGUAGCAAGGUUAACCGAAUAGGGGAGCCGAAGGGAAACCGAGUCUUAACUGGGCGUUAAGUUGCAGGGUAUAGACCCGAAACCCGGUGAUCUAGCCAUGGGCAGGUUGAAGGUUGGGUAACACUAACUGGAGGACCGAACCGACUAAUGUUGAAAAAUUAGCGGAUGACUUGUGGCUGGGGGUGAAAGGCCAAUCAAACCGGGAGAUAGCUGGUUCUCCCCGAAAGCUAUUUAGGUAGCGCCUCGUGAAUUCAUCUCCGGGGGUAGAGCACUGUUUCGGCAAGGGGGUCAUCCCGACUUACCAACCCGAUGCAAACUGCGAAUACCGGAGAAUGUUAUCACGGGAGACACACGGCGGGUGCUAACGUCCGUCGUGAAGAGGGAAACAACCCAGACCGCCAGCUAAGGUCCCAAAGUCAUGGUUAAGUGGGAAACGAUGUGGGAAGGCCCAGACAGCCAGGAUGUUGGCUUAGAAGCAGCCAUCAUUUAAAGAAAGCGUAAUAGCUCACUGGUCGAGUCGGCCUGCGCGGAAGAUGUAACGGGGCUAAACCAUGCACCGAAGCUGCGGCAGCGACGCUUAUGCGUUGUUGGGUAGGGGAGCGUUCUGUAAGCCUGUGAAGGUGUGCUGUGAGGCAUGCUGGAGGUAUCAGAAGUGCGAAUGCUGACAUAAGUAACGAUAAAGCGGGUGAAAAGCCCGCUCGCCGGAAGACCAAGGGUUCCUGUCCAACGUUAAUCGGGGCAGGGUGAGUCGACCCCUAAGGCGAGGCCGAAAGGCGUAGUCGAUGGGAAACAGGUUAAUAUUCCUGUACUUGGUGUUACUGCGAAGGGGGGACGGAGAAGGCUAUGUUGGCCGGGCGACGGUUGUCCCGGUUUAAGCGUGUAGGCUGGUUUUCCAGGCAAAUCCGGAAAAUCAAGGCUGAGGCGUGAUGACGAGGCACUACGGUGCUGAAGCAACAAAUGCCCUGCUUCCAGGAAAAGCCUCUAAGCAUCAGGUAACAUCAAAUCGUACCCCAAACCGACACAGGUGGUCAGGUAGAGAAUACCAAGGCGCUUGAGAGAACUCGGGUGAAGGAACUAGGCAAAAUGGUGCCGUAACUUCGGGAGAAGGCACGCUGAUAUGUAGGUGAAGUCCCUCGCGGAUGGAGCUGAAAUCAGUCGAAGAUACCAGCUGGCUGCAACUGUUUAUUAAAAACACAGCACUGUGCAAACACGAAAGUGGACGUAUACGGUGUGACGCCUGCCCGGUGCCGGAAGGUUAAUUGAUGGGGUUAGCGCAAGCGAAGCUCUUGAUCGAAGCCCCGGUAAACGGCGGCCGUAACUAUAACGGUCCUAAGGUAGCGAAAUUCCUUGUCGGGUAAGUUCCGACCUGCACGAAUGGCGUAAUGAUGGCCAGGCUGUCUCCACCCGAGACUCAGUGAAAUUGAACUCGCUGUGAAGAUGCAGUGUACCCGCGGCAAGACGGAAAGACCCCGUGAACCUUUACUAUAGCUUGACACUGAACAUUGAGCCUUGAUGUGUAGGAUAGGUGGGAGGCUUGGAAGUGUGGACGCCAGUCUGCAUGGAGCCGACCUUGAAAUACCACCCUUUAAUGUUUGAUGUUCUAACGUUGACCCGUAAUCCGGGUUGCGGACAGUGUCUGGUGGGUAGUUUGACUGGGGCGGUCUCCUCCUAAAGAGUAACGGAGGAGCACGAAGGUUGGCUAAUCCUGGUCGGACAUCAGGAGGUUAGUGCAAUGGCAUAAGCCAGCUUGACUGCGAGCGUGACGGCGCGAGCAGGUGCGAAAGCAGGUCAUAGUGAUCCGGUGGUUCUGAAUGGAAGGGCCAUCGCUCAACGGAUAAAAGGUACUCCGGGGAUAACAGGCUGAUACCGCCCAAGAGUUCAUAUCGACGGCGGUGUUUGGCACCUCGAUGUCGGCUCAUCACAUCCUGGGGCUGAAGUAGGUCCCAAGGGUAUGGCUGUUCGCCAUUUAAAGUGGUACGCGAGCUGGGUUUAGAACGUCGUGAGACAGUUCGGUCCCUAUCUGCCGUGGGCGCUGGAGAACUGAGGGGGGCUGCUCCUAGUACGAGAGGACCGGAGUGGACGCAUCACUGGUGUUCGGGUUGUCAUGCCAAUGGCACUGCCCGGUAGCUAAAUGCGGAAGAGAUAAGUGCUGAAAGCAUCUAAGCACGAAACUUGCCCCGAGAUGAGUUCUCCCUGACUCCUUGA
RNAcentral lists this ribosomal RNA (2443 nucleotides) under Escherichia coli. Its description in RNAcentral is "bacterial LSU rRNA". It matches the Rfam family "Bacterial large subunit ribosomal RNA", at positions 398 to 2826 of the family's 2925-position model. The record is from RNAcentral. Lineage: Bacteria; Pseudomonadati; Pseudomonadota; Gammaproteobacteria; Enterobacterales; Enterobacteriaceae.